CAGUCGCCGCGGGAAUACGAAGGGGGCUAGCGUUGUUCGGAAUUACUGGGCGUAAAGCGCACGUAGGCGGAUAUUUAAGUCAGGGGUGAAAUCCCGCAGCUCAACUGCGGAACUGCCUUUGAUACUGGGUAUCUUGAGUAUGGAAGAGGUUAGUGGAAAUGCGAGUGUAGAGGUGAAAUUCGUAGAUAUUCGCAGGAACACCAGUGGCGAAGGCGGCUAACUGGUCCAUAACUGACGCUGAGGUGCGAAAGCGUGGGGAGCAAACAGGAUUAGAUACCCGCGUAGUCCCUGUCUCUUAUAC
RNAcentral lists this ribosomal RNA (301 nucleotides) under uncultured bacterium. RNAcentral's name for it is "partial 16S ribosomal RNA". It matches the Rfam family "Bacterial small subunit ribosomal RNA", at positions 509 to 807 of the family's 1533-position model. The record is from RNAcentral.